Molecule: ribosomal RNA, 251 nt
Filed under: uncultured prokaryote
Description: partial 16S rRNA
Rfam family: Bacterial small subunit ribosomal RNA
Source: RNAcentral
ACGUAGGGGGCGAGCGUUGUCCGGAAUUACUGGGCGUAAAGGGUGCGUAGGCGGUGAGAUAAGAUAGAUGUGAAAUCCCCGGGCUUAACUCGGGUAUUGCAUUUGUGACUGUCUUGCUAGAGUGCAGGAGAGGAAAGCGGAAUUCCUAGUGUAGCGGUGAAAUGCGUAGAUAUUAGGAGGAACACCGGUGGCGAAGGCGGCUUUCUGGACUGUAACUGACGCUGAAGCACGAAAGCGUGGGGAGCAAACAG